This 330-nucleotide ribosomal RNA is filed under the name uncultured bacterium. RNAcentral describes it as "bacterial SSU rRNA". It matches the Rfam family "Bacterial small subunit ribosomal RNA", at positions 568 to 898 of the family's 1533-position model. The record is from RNAcentral.
CGCGUAGGCGGAUGCUUAAGUUAGAGGUGAAAGCCCAGGGCUCAACCUUGGAACUGCCUUUGAUACUGGGCAUCUUGAGUACGGGAGAGGUGAGUGGAACUCCGAGUGUAGAGGUGAAAUUCGUAGAUAUUCGGAAGAACACCAGUGGCGAAGGCGACUCACUGGCCCGUUACUGACGCUGAGGCGCGAAAGCGUGGGGAGCAAACAGGAUUAGAUACCCUGGUAGUCCACGCUGUAAACGAUGAGUGCUAGUUGUCGGCAUGCAUGCAUGUCGGUGACGCAGCUAACGCAUUAAGCACUCCGCCUGGGGAGUACGGUCGCAAGAUUAAA